GGGGAAGGAGGAGGGAGAAAGGGGUUACCAAAAAACAGGGUUUAAGAAGCCCAAACUUUCCACUGAAGUGAAAUCCAAUUAUGUGAGGAUCAUCCGUUUUUUCUCACUCAACUGACAAAUAUUUACAUUAAGAGAAACCUGUAUGACUUUAUUAGUUUAAAGAUUCCUCGCAAACAAACAAGUUGAACUUAAGCAGAUAUUGAGACCAAAAGUAUCAAUCAUAUAAGAAAAAUACACUGUAUGUAGACAAAAUAUAUUAUCCGCAUCAGCAAAAAUUGCUGACAACUAUAUCAUACAAAAUGAAGGUUUAUGCUAAAACAAGAACCGUGUAGUUCACAAUGAUUUAUAUUGAUGAAAUUGCCAGAGAUUCAAGCAUGGUACAUAACAGCAUGAUAAGAAAUACUAACAUAAAUAAACUCAUUAUAUUAAAGAACCAA
Molecule: unclassified non-coding RNA, 437 nt
Filed under: Hevea brasiliensis (rubber tree)
Lineage: Eukaryota; Viridiplantae; Streptophyta; Magnoliopsida; Malpighiales; Euphorbiaceae
Source: RNAcentral